GUGAGGGUGAUAUGACUGUGGCAUCUGUCAACCAGGGUUGAUUCAGCUGUUCCACAUGGAUAUGUAGGAAUACCUCUUCUCCCUCAGCAUGUUUCUUUCCUAGAAAGGCACACUUAAUAGAAGAUGACUGCCUUUUGUGAUGGAGAAGGGCCAAUCUACACUCAAGGUACAGGAGGAGUAUCUGUGUCUAUUGCUAGAAACUAAAAAAAAAAAUGUAUAGGAGAACAUACUGUGGUCAAGCUUCUAAAACUUUAGAGGUGAAUUACUUCAAGAGGCAGUUGGCUUUCCAUU
Molecule: small nuclear RNA, 291 nt
Filed under: Neotoma lepida (desert woodrat)
Lineage: Eukaryota; Metazoa; Chordata; Mammalia; Rodentia; Cricetidae
Description: 7SK RNA
Rfam family: 7SK RNA
About the family: 7SK was discovered as an abundant small nuclear RNA in the mid-70s but a possible function has only recently been suggested. Two independent studies have found that 7SK RNA binds the CDK9/cyclin T complex (known as elongation factor P-TEFb). P-TEFb activates transcription by phosphorylating the C-terminal domain of RNA polymerase II.
Source: Rfam by way of RNAcentral